ACAAGAGUCUGUACCACCCCGUCAGUAACAGCUGCAUCGACAGCAGCCCCAGCGAGCGGCGAGUCUUCAUGAACACGUGCGACGCGUCGUCGGCCAGCCAGCAGUGGCUGUUUGAGAGGACCAACGCCACCGUGCUGGAGCACUUCAACCGGGGGGGCGCCAACUGAGGCGCUGCAGCGCUGAGAUGAGGCCUCUUUUAAAGCAAGAGACCAUGAAGCAACGAUCAACUUUGAUCAGAUAAGAAUGGAAGCUACAAGUGAGCAAUGUGCUGCUUCAGAAACAUUCCCCGUGGUACAGCAGUGAUCCGGUGUGCCGGCACAGAGCAGAAGAGCUGGUCGGACCACACACACACAACACCACCACCUCAUACAAGCUUGGGAUGAGCAAAAAAGGGUGGGAAAAAACCACGGAGAAACCUUACUGUCAUCUGGAAUUACAGGCAACACGGAGCUCUUACAGACUUUCCAAUAGACAAAAACACAAACUUGAACUCUGCUGGACUCAAUGGAUUGUCUAUUUGUUUGCCUCUUUAAUUAUUGCCUUAACGAUUCCAACAAUAGGAAAUACCUGCUGCCUAUGUUUUCACCCAGUGAACCAAAACAGCAUAUGGGAACAUAUGUGGGACAGUUGUAGUAAGUAUAAAAAAAAAGAAUUGCAAGAAUAUGUUUUUUAUAGAAACAACAGGAUCUUGUACAGACUCAUCUUUAAAGUGCAAUUGAUUUUUUCUACUGAGCAAUGAAGCAACCAAAUUACAUUAUGUCCAUUCUAUCGCA
Etheostoma spectabile (orangethroat darter) is the source of this 773-nucleotide long non-coding RNA. RefSeq lists it as uncharacterized. The record is from RefSeq and is a predicted model, not a curated record. NCBI's taxonomy places the organism in Eukaryota, Metazoa, Chordata, Actinopteri, Perciformes, Percidae. The transcript is spliced from 3 exons.